This 1503-nucleotide long non-coding RNA is filed under the name Jatropha curcas. RNAcentral's name for it is "long non-coding RNA (JCUR_LNC000557)". Lineage: Eukaryota; Viridiplantae; Streptophyta; Magnoliopsida; Malpighiales; Euphorbiaceae. The record is from RNAcentral.
AAUCACGAAAUACUGUUAUAAGUUCAUUUAGUUAGAUAGCAUUACAUGUUAUGAUCAACUCCGACAAAAUAUUUCACCAGUGAAUUGGUAAGAAACACUAACUAAUAGACAAUUAAAUAAAAGCAAUUUCCUAAAUAAUUACACGAGGAAAUAACACAGUAGCCUAGUAGUUAUUGAUGCAUAGAAAUCCCACACACAUGAACAAGAAGAAAGAGCUCCAAAACCAGAAGCUGAACAAGCAAAAGCUCAUCCAGCAGCCAUUGCAGGUGAAGGAGCCAACUCUACCUCAUUAGCAAGAACAGCCACUCAAAAACCCGCCAUUACAAGCAACAAGAGACACAUUGCAUCAUAAAAGCCGUAUCCAAGAUAUUGUCAAUGUCAAUAAUGUAGGUUUUUAGGUAACCAAAGGAAUAGACCUUGCAAUUUUUACUGAAAAUCUUGAAUUAUGGAUUUGGGUCUCCUUGCUUCUCCCAGUGUUCACAUGUGCUGCUAAAAUUUGUUCACGGGGUUGCAGAUUGUCAUUCAUCCACAGAGCCAGUUUUGCCACGUUUUGCUAUAAAUGUAUAAAAGAAAUAUUUGGGUUAAGAAAUGAGGAUAAGAGGUUUCUUGUUUUCUUGACCGUAAGACUUUAACCUAAAGAGGGAAAAAGCAUAUAUAUCUUCUGCACCAAUGGAUUGGCCCAUACCUGGAGCCCUUUCAGAAAUUUAUAUCAAAGGACACGCAUUUAAAUGUUAUAUAUAUAUAUAUAUAUAUAUAUAUAUAAAGCUAACUAUUAACCUCAAAAACAAUUAAGGUUGUCUUAUUUCUUUGUAGAACAUUUGAAACAUACAAAUGAGAAGAAAAGAGUUUAAUCUCCCAGAAUUAACAAUUUAAAAUAAAAUAAAAAUAGAAGGUAUAUAGUGAAUGCUUUCUUUUUUCUUUUUUCUUUUUCAAGAAGCUUUCUUUUUUAACUCUCCUUCUCUUUUGUCUUUCUUUUUCUUUUUUCUUUUUCUUUUUUUUUUUUUUUAUUUUACAACUUAUUGAAGGUAGAGUGCAAUGAAAGAGGCAAGGAAGGCACCGAGCAACGAUCCAAGAACCGGCAAGCUAGCAACGGCAGCGCUUGCUGGUGGAUUGGCAGCUGCCGGCGAAGCAGCUGGCUCCUCAAUAUCAGCCAUCACUGCACUCAUGGAGGCAACAGCAAAGAAGACAGCACAGGCAAUCUUCUUCUUCAUUUCCAUUUUUGGAUUAGGCAGAGAACAGCAAAUAGCUCCAAAAUAAUUUAUCGAAACGUUUUGCUGAAUCUGCCUUUCCUUUGAAUACAGAUUUUAAUGGAAGCCUGAAAAGUAAUGGCUGCAUGGUAGGAUAUAUAUAUAUGAGUAUUUGUUCCGUACAUUAUGGGUCUUUUUCUUUUUUUUCCUUUUUUCUAUUUUUAGGUUAAAAGGUAAUAUAUUUAGUUUUCAUAUAUUUUUGUCGUUUGAUUAAUUAAUAAUUAACUAGCUGCUGUAAUGAUUUUUGACUUCUAAA